RNA transcript from Ricinus communis (castor bean), 2526 nucleotides. It is a transcript of the gene named intermediate cleaving peptidase 55, mitochondrial, with no coding region annotated. NCBI's taxonomy places the organism in Eukaryota, Viridiplantae, Streptophyta, Magnoliopsida, Malpighiales, Euphorbiaceae. The transcript is spliced from 15 exons. The record is from RefSeq and is a predicted model, not a curated record.
AUCUUUCCCUGACCAAAAGUUCUAGUCGAUUUAAGCUAAUAUUCUAUUAGGUGACAAAAUGGUUCGUCAUACGCCUGAAUAAAUCUUCUCAACAAAGAAUAAUAUCUUUGCACCGAUAAAUGGUCGUGGCCGCGAGCAGCCCGAUUUUAUUAAUUUUUGCUCUCAUUUAAAGAGUAAAAAGAAGAGGAGGGCUAAAAAAGCCAGAAAAGAAUUAGCCUACUCCUAAACGCACCGUCUAGAAAGUAAGAAAAACACAGAGGAUAUGAUAUUUUUAAGAGGAAAAUUUCAUAAUUUAAAACUGGCCUUAAACCCUAAAAUGAGAAUUUGAGAAUUUACCUACAAGUGAAGAAGCAGAAAAUCAGUAAACAAUAACCAACAAAAUGAUUCCCUUGAGGAACUUAUUCCAGAGAAGAGUUCCAUUUAAACAAGGUACUGCUUGUUAUGCUUAUUCUACCAAUAAAGUCUUCGAUAUUGGGCAGCCAACUCCUGCGACUCAUCCCCAGUUGCUAAAGGAAGGAGAGAUCACUCCAGGCAUCAGUAAUGAGGAGUAUAUCUCAAGAAGGAAAAAGUUACUGGAAAUUCUUCCUGAGAAAAGUUUGGCCAUUAUUGCAGCUGCCCCGGUAAAGAUGAUGACUAGUGUUGUGCCUUACACAUAUCGACAAGAUGCUGAUUACUUGUAUAUCACUGGCUGCCAACAACCUGGUGGUGUGGCAGUUCUGGGUCAUGACUGUGGUUUAUGCAUGUUCAUGCCAGAAGCAACAAAACAUGACAUCAUUUGGCAAGGCCAAGUUGCGGGAGUUGAUGCAGCAUUAGAAACAUUCAAUGCUCAACAAGCAUAUCCGAUGAGCAAAUUGCAUGAUGUUCUUCCAGAUAUGCUAAGGAGAUGCUCCAGGUUGUUUCACAACAUACAGACAGCCACAAAGACAUAUACAGAACUGAAGGCAUUUCAAGAGGUAUUAUGCACUCGCUCAGUAGAAGACAUCUCUUGUUUAACCAAUGAGUUACGAUGGAUAAAAUCACCGGCGGAGCUUAAGUUGAUGAGAGAAUCUGCUUCAAUUGCUUGCCAGGCUCUUUUGCAGACAAUGCUACAUUCCAAGACAUAUCCCCAUGAGGGUAUGUUAGCAGCAAAAGUUGAAUAUGAAUGCAAAAUGAGAGGUGCUCAGAGGAUGGCAUUCAAUCCCGUGGUUGGCGGUGGAUCUAAUGGUAGUGUUAUACAUUAUUCCCGAAAUGAUCAGAAGAUUAGAGACGGUGACCUUGUUUUGAUGGAUGUUGGGUGUGAGUUGCAUGGUUAUGCCAGUGAUCUUACUCGUACUUGGCCACCCUGUGGUAGCUUCUCUUCAGCACAAGAGGAGCUCUAUGAUCUUAUACUUCAAACAAGUAAAUCAUGCACAGAUCUUUGCAAACCUGGUGCAAGCAUUUGGGAAAUACACAAUUAUUCGGUACCCUUGUUGGAGAACUAUACUUCCAUCUUCUUCCUUUUCUUUUCCUUCUCCUGGUGUGUCUUUUCGUUUUGCUUUUUCUGGAUGGUGGUGGUUGAACUGUUGCGUAAAGGACUUAAGGAGAUUGGGAUUUUAAGAAAUAUUGGAAGCAAUUCCUUCCAUCUACUGAACCCAACUUCUAUAGGUCAUUAUCUAGGAAUGGACGUCCAUGAUAGUUUUUCUGUCAGCUAUGAUUGCCCACUGAAGCCAGGUGUUGUGAUAACAAUUGAGCCAGGAGUGUACAUUCCAUCUACUUUUGAUGUUCCAGAGAGUUGUGGAGUGCAUGUUUGCUUUAAGCAAGCUUCCUACAAGAAGUUGCUUCUACAAAAAUAACCAGAGUGCGCUGAGGAAAGUUACUUGCAAAAUAAAUGCUGAAGCUGAGGUUGAUUGAUGGAUAACUUUAGAUUAGAAAAGUUGAACCUGUGCCUAAUUCGUUUUAUUUCUGUGACUUAUUGAAGUCUGAAUACUCUUACAUUGAAGCAGUAAUCAAGUGUCUUGAAGGACAAACAGGAUAACCUUUUUAUGCUACUCUUUCCAUUUUUCAGCUUCAGCAGGUUGUUACCAUGAUACAGGUGUUUUUUCUUGGCACCAUACUGCUGCCUUUCUUGUCUUAAGUCCGACUUACAAUCUUUGAAGUUUGAAAGUUAUUCUGUCAUCUGUUUCCUUUAUUUAUAUCUAUACAAGUUAAUUUAUGAUUUAUGGUGGGAUAAUACUCCUAGAGCAUUUAGAGGUUAUUUUCUGCUUUUGCACUUGUUAUGUACUGUUUAUAAUUCUAGAAUCCGUAUUUAUCUGUGUCCAAUAUGUCUAAUAUAGAUUUGUGGAUAAAUAAAAUGCACCUAUCUUAGCAUGAUAUGCUUAUUAGAUUCUUUACAUAAGUCACUGAAUAUUACCUCUUGCAGGUACCAAGGCAUUGGGAUAAGGAUUGAAGAUGAGGUCCUAAUCACAGAAACUGGUUAUGAGGUACUCACGGAUUCGAUGCCAAAAGAAGUAAGACACAUCGAGUCAUUGCUCAAUAACUACAGUCAUAAAGGAGGAAUGGAGAAAGAGG